RNAcentral lists this ribosomal RNA (796 nucleotides) under uncultured bacterium. RNAcentral describes it as "bacterial SSU rRNA". It matches the Rfam family "Bacterial small subunit ribosomal RNA", at positions 8 to 799 of the family's 1533-position model. The record is from RNAcentral.
AGAGUUUGAUCAUGGCUCAGAUUGAACGCUGGCGGCAGGCCUAACACAUGCAAGUCGAGCGGAUGAAGAGAGCUUGCUCUCUGAUUCAGCGGCGGACGGGUGAGUAAUGCCUAGGAAUCUGCCUGGUAGUGGGGGACAACGUUUCGAAAGGAACGCUAAUACCGCAUACGUCCUACGGGAGAAAGCAGGGGACCUUCGGGCCUUGCGCUAUCAGAUGAGCCUAGGUCGGAUUAGCUAGUUGGUGAGGUAAUGGCUCACCAAGGCGACGAUCCGUAACUGGUCUGAGAGGAUGAUCAGUCACACUGGAACUGAGACACGGUCCAGACUCCUACGGGAGGCAGCAGUGGGGAAUAUUGGACAAUGGGCGAAGGCCUGAUCCAGCCAUGCCGCGUGUGUGAAGAAGGUCUUCGGAUUGUAAAGCACUUUAAGUUGGGAGGAAGGGCAUGCACCUAAUACGUGUGUGUCUUGACGUUACCGACAGAAUAAGCACCGGCUAACUCUGUGCCAGCAGCCGCGGUAAUACAGAGGGUGCAAGCGUUAAUCGGAAUUACUGGGCGUAAAGCGCGCGUAGGUGGUUCGUUAAGUUGAAUGUGAAAUCCCCGGGCUCAACCUGGGAACUGCAUCCAAAACUGGCGAGCUAGAGUAUGGUAGAGGGUGGUGGAAUUUCCUGUGUAGCGGUGAAAUGCGUAGAUAUAGGAAGGAACACCAGUGGCGAAGGCGACCACCUGGACUGAUACUGACACUGANGUGCGAAAGCGUGNGGAGCAAACAGGAUUAGAUACCCUGGUAGUCCACG